GAUGAACGCUGGCGGCGUGCCUAAUACAUGCAAGUCGAGCGAACAGAUGAGGAGCUUGCUCCUCUGACGUUAGCGGCGGACGGGUGAGUAACACGUGGAUAACCUACCUAUAAGACUGGGAUAACUUCGGGAAACCGGAGCUAAUACCGGAUAAUAUAUUGAACCGCAUGGUUCAAUAGUGAAAGACGGUUUUGCUGUCACUUAUAGAUGGAUCCGCGCCGCAUUAGCUAGUUGGUAAGGUAACGGCUUACCAAGGCAACGAUGCGUAGCCGACCUGAGAGGGGGAGGGCCCCCACGAGAACUGAGACGCGGCCCAGACCCAGCGGGGAGCAGGAAGGGGGCAUUCGCGAGAAAGGGGGGAAGCCCUGGCGGAGAAGCCCCGCGAGGGUGAUAAGGUUCUUCGUAUCGAAAAACUUUGUUAUGGGGGAAAAACAAAUGUGUAAGAAACUAUGCGCGUCUGAACGGAACAUAAUAAAAAAGCCACGCCAAACUACGUC
Molecule: ribosomal RNA, 497 nt
Filed under: uncultured bacterium
Lineage: Bacteria
Description: partial 16S ribosomal RNA
Rfam family: Bacterial small subunit ribosomal RNA
Source: RNAcentral